Molecule: long non-coding RNA, 1310 nt
Organism: Rhagoletis zephyria (snowberry fruit fly)
Lineage: Eukaryota; Metazoa; Arthropoda; Insecta; Diptera; Tephritidae
Source: RefSeq, a predicted model, not a curated record
AAACUUUUUUUAAACGUAUGUAGCUCUAUUUUUUUUCUAAUUUUUGUUAAAUUUUAAUUUGAGUACUAAAUUUUGCUUGUAUCCUAUUGAAGUGCAAAAAUUCUAACCGCUGUGCAAUAUUUUAGUUAGAUAUUGUUUGCAUUACUUUAGAUUUUAGUUCCAAAAUUUCUGUAUUUGUGCGCUUUGAUGCUAAAUUUCGACAUGUUGAUAAAGCGCUAAAUUGCUUUAGUUGUUUGAAUUAAAAUUUUUUGGGACACUUUACUAUACAAAUUAUUUUACUAAAAAAUUUGUGGGCCGUUUUUAGUACCAAAGCUGUUGUGCCCAUUUUAUUAACCUAUUAAUGAUGCGAAAAGCAGAUUUUCGCUUUUCGUAGACAUUAAGUACUUAAGUACUAAAUUUUCCCAUUAAAUUUUUAAGCUCACUUGCUUUUCUGCUAAAUUUUAUUACUAUUUUUUACUAAAUUUUCUCAUUGCUGAAUUUUACUUUUUUGGUUCUAAAUUUUAAGGCUUUGAUUUGGUACUAAAUUCAAAGGCUCGUUUGCUUUGCCGCUAAAUUUUAUUUUUUUGUUACUUUUUUCAAUUUUGUAGCGUAUUGAAUUGAUAAGUUUAGUUGUUACUUCAUGAUUGAUUUUCGGAAAUUUUUAACACUAGUACUAAAAAUUUCAAACACUUUAGUAGUAAAAAUGUAGUAGCCUUGCUAAGGUGCUAGAUUGUCUUUUACAAUUUUUGAGUCAAGAUUUUAGUACUAAAGUUUGAUAGUCACUUUAUAAAUUUACUAUUGGGGCAAACAUUUGUUUUUGGUUUUAGUACAUUCUCAACUUCUUUAGUAUUAAAUUCGGGGGUUUCUAAAUUUGUUAUCCGUUGGUAAUCGAUUUUAAAUUUUGACUUUUGGUACUAAAAUUUGGUAUUUAUUUUUCUAGUACUAAAUUUUUGUUUAGUACUAAGUUCUAGUAUUUGAUUUUUAGUGUUAAAAUUUAAUAUUUGAUAAUUUGUAAUCAAUCCUGGCGGUUUGAUUUUUAGUACUAAAACUACGUAUUUUGUUUUCAGUACUCAAUUUUAGUAUUUUUUAUUUAGUACGGUCAUUGAUAAUGUAAUCGUAAGGUAACAGAAACAUUGAAAACCCUAUCGUACGAUAUCAAAGUUAUGAAAUUUCAGAAUUUGAUCAUUUACAGAUACCAGUAAGGAAAUUAAAAAAAAACAAAUAAAUUAAAAUUAUAGCACAAUAACUUCAAAACUUAAAUUUAGUACACACAUUUUUAAAACUUCCUAAAUGUAGAUAGAUGUAGAUUUGUUGCUUUUUGUUGGCUUGGG